GAUGAACGCUAGCGGCAGGCUUAAUACAUGCAAGUCAAGGGGCCAGCAAUGGCACCGGCGGACGGGUGAGUAACGCGUACACAACGUACCUUUAACUGGGGGAUAGCAUCUGGAAACGGGUGGUAAUACCGCAUGUGGUUGCGGGGAGGCAUCUCCUUGUAACUAAAACUUUGGUGGUUAGAGAUCGGUGUGCGUCUGAUUAGCUAGUUGGUAGGGUAGAGGCCUACCAAGGCGACGAUCAGUAGGGGGCGUGAGAGCGUGAACCCCCACACGGGUACUGAGACACGGACCCGACUCCUACGGGAGGCAGCAGUAAGGAAUAUUGGUCAAUGGAGGGAACUCUGAACCAGCCAUGCCGCGUGAAGGAAGAAGGCGCUACGCGUUGUAAACUUCUUUUGGGUGGGACGAAAAUAAUCCAUUUAUGGAUAGCUGACGGUACCAUCAGAAUAAGCACCGGCUAACUCCGUGCCAGCAGCCGCGGUAAU
This 485-nucleotide ribosomal RNA is filed under the name uncultured bacterium. Its description in RNAcentral is "bacterial SSU rRNA". It matches the Rfam family "Bacterial small subunit ribosomal RNA", at positions 28 to 524 of the family's 1533-position model. The record is from RNAcentral.